UUGAUAGUUUAGUGUGCUUUUACGUCUCACCCAUUGCAGUCUAAAAAAUAUAUAUUCUUAAAAUGGGAAAACCAAAUAGAAAAUCCCAGCUAUAUUAUUCUUCAGACGAGGACGAUUAUAAUGUCCUGGAAAAACGCUGCAACUGCAGUAACAUUGAAAUUAUUGAAAAUAAGCUAAAUGAAAAAGAAGAAGAGUUGGCUUUGUUAAAAGAAAAGUUGGAAAUGUAUGACGAUAAAAUUAAGGAUAAAAAUGAUGUAAUAGCUGCUCUAAAAGCUUCGAACAAUAUUUAUAAAUUGGAGUACAAGGAAAAGAUUGAUUCACAGGCGGAAAAAAUAAAAGACCUUAAAGUGGAGCUGUUCAAAAUAAGGGAUAAAAGUAGUAAUGAGAUUAAUGAGGAAGUGCAUAUUAAACUUGAAGCUUCCUAUAAAGCUAAAUUAAAAGAGAAAGACGAUCAAAUUAUGUUUUUAGAAAUGGACUUAAGUUUGGCCAAUUUAAAGAUUAAGGAAAAGGACGAUUUGUUAAAAAAAUCAGGCAAAAACUAUUCAAAAUCUUAACACUGCACUGCACAUCAGUACAAAUUUUUUCAAAAUUUUUAAUCUUUAUUAACUUAAUUAUUAAAGGGAGAAAAUGUUAACUGUAUUUUUAUGAUAAAUGUUCAAGGGAUUUAUUGUAUAGUGUUUUAUUUCCCAAAAUUUCCUAUUUUACCAAAUUUUAUAAAAUAUGUAUUUAUAGUUAAAACAUAGAAUUUAUAAAUAUAGUCCUUUUUAUAAAAAUAUCCUUCGUACGCUGGCGCCACCUGUUGGGGAAAUAUCAAGUCCUUGUUGCUGCCAAUUCACUGAAAUAAUAUGUUCUUCAACCACAAUUAAACUCCUCUUAUGAGGAAAUUUUUAUAUGCGCAGGACAUUUAUAGCUUGCUUUCAAAAAAAAACAUAGAAAAUGUUGAAGGAUAUUUGGAAGGACUUUCAUGCCACAAUUGCUAUAAAGAAUGCUAAUAAACGGCAAGUAAAAUUAAAAAAUGUUGUCAUAUUUUGCAAUGAAAUAGCUAACAUACAUAUAUAACGAUUUAGGAAAAGCAAUUAUUUUUUUUAUAUCUUUUGCAACUCUUUUUUACGCAUUUUUUCAUAUGUUAUUGUGGCAGAUAUUUUUGGUUUAUAUUUUAUUUUGUUAAAUGGAAAUAGUUUGAAUAUCUAGAUAAUAUUGUUUCAGAAAAUUUUAAAAGGCAUUGUUUCACUUCAUGAAUAAAAAUCUUCUUUCAAACUUAA
Long non-coding RNA from Drosophila ananassae, 1262 nucleotides. RefSeq lists it as uncharacterized. The record is from RefSeq and is a predicted model, not a curated record. NCBI's taxonomy places the organism in Eukaryota, Metazoa, Arthropoda, Insecta, Diptera, Drosophilidae. The transcript is spliced from 2 exons.